RNAcentral lists this long non-coding RNA (223 nucleotides) under Nicotiana benthamiana. RNAcentral describes it as "long non-coding RNA (NBEN_LNC000844)". Lineage: Eukaryota; Viridiplantae; Streptophyta; Magnoliopsida; Solanales; Solanaceae. The record is from RNAcentral.
UUGUUGUCUCUAUAUUUUCUGUCUUUGUCUUUUGGAGUCACAGUCAGUCUCUAGUGAAACAUCAACGGUUGGUUGUACUACAAUCCCAGCUUGAUAAUAUACAUCUAUAUUUCUAUGUACUUAAUUAAUGUCUCCUCUACGCGGAUUAAUUCCUUCUCUCUGUUCUUUCUUAUUUUUUCAUUUAUUCAUUCAUGGUCUAAACUUAUUUACAUAAUCGGCUAGG